Molecule: ribosomal RNA, 485 nt
Filed under: uncultured Pseudomonas sp.
Lineage: Bacteria; Pseudomonadati; Pseudomonadota; Gammaproteobacteria; Pseudomonadales; Pseudomonadaceae
Description: bacterial SSU rRNA
Rfam family: Bacterial small subunit ribosomal RNA
Source: RNAcentral
UGCGGCAGCUACCAUGCAGUCGAGCGGUAGAGAGAAGCUUGCUUCUCUUGAGAGCGGCGGACGGGUGAGUAAUGCCUAGGAAUCUGCCUGGUAGUGGGGGAUAACGUUCGGAAACGGACGCUAAUACCGCAUACGUCCUACGGGAGAAAGCAGGGGACCUUCGGGCCUUGCGCUAUCAGAUGAGCCUAGGUCGGAUUAGCUAGUUGGUGAGGUAAUGGCUCACCAAGGCGACGAUCCGUAACUGGUCUGAGAGGAUGAUCAGUCACACUGGAACUGAGACACGGUCCAGACUCCUACGGGAGGCAGCAGUGGGGAAUAUUGGACAAUGGGCGAAAGCCUGAUCCAGCCAUGCCGCGUGUGUGAAGAAGGUCUUCGGAUUGUAAAGCACUUUAAGUUGGGAGGAAGGGUUGUAGAUUAAUACUCUGCAAUUUUGACGUUACCGACAGAAUAAGCACCGGCUAACUCUGUGCCAGCAGCCGCGGUAA